CGAACGCUGGCGGCAAGCUUAACACAUGCAAGUCGAACGGACCAUACGCGCAGCUUGCUGCGUGUAUGGUUAGUGGCAGACGGGUGAGUAAUGCAUAGGAAUCUACCUAGUAGUAUAGGAUAGCCACUAGAAAUGGUGGGUAAUACUGUAUAAUCCCUGCGGGGGAAAGAUUUAUCGCUAUUAGAUGAGCCUAUGUCAGAUUAGCUAGUUGGUGGGGUAAUGGCCUACCAAGGCGGUGAUCUGUAGCUGGUCUGAGAGGAUGAUCAGCCACACUGGAACUGAGACACGGUCCAGACUCCUACGGGAGGCAGCAGUGGGGAAUAUUGGACAAUGGGCGCAAGCCUGAUCCAGCUAUGCCGCGUGAGUGAGGAAGGCCUUAGGGUUGUAAAACUCUUUCAGUAGGGAAGAUAAUGACGGUACCUACA
This 425-nucleotide ribosomal RNA is filed under the name uncultured Anaplasma sp. Its description in RNAcentral is "bacterial SSU rRNA". It matches the Rfam family "Bacterial small subunit ribosomal RNA", at positions 30 to 483 of the family's 1533-position model. The record is from RNAcentral. Lineage: Bacteria; Pseudomonadati; Pseudomonadota; Alphaproteobacteria; Rickettsiales; Anaplasmataceae.